GCCAGAGUAGCUCAGGGGUAGAGCACCGCUUUCGUAAAGCGGCGGUCACGAGUUCAAAUCUCGUCUCUGGCUCCA
This 75-nucleotide transfer RNA is filed under the name Planctomycetota bacterium. RNAcentral's name for it is "Planctomycetes bacterium tRNA-Thr". It matches the Rfam family "tRNA". From Rfam's summary of the family: Transfer RNA (tRNA) molecules are approximately 80 nucleotides in length. Their secondary structure includes four short double-helical elements and three loops (D, anti-codon, and T loops). The record is from RNAcentral. Lineage: Bacteria; Pseudomonadati; Planctomycetota.